Molecule: ribosomal RNA, 254 nt
Filed under: uncultured bacterium
Lineage: Bacteria
Description: partial 16S ribosomal RNA
Rfam family: Bacterial small subunit ribosomal RNA
Source: RNAcentral
UACGGGGGGGAGCAAGCGUUGUUCGGAUUUACUGGGCGUAAAGGGCGCGUAGGCGGCACCGCAAGUCGACUGUGAAAUCUCCGGGCUUAACCCGGAAAGGUCAGCCGAUACUGCGGGGCUAGAGUGCAGAAGGGGCAACUGGAAUUCUCGGUGUAGCGGUGAAAUGCGUAGAUAUCCGGAGGAACACCGGUGGCGAAGGCGGCUUCCUGGACCGACACUGACGCUGAGGCGCGAAAGCUAGGGGAGCAAACGGG